AUGCAGAGUCUUCUCAUGUACAAGGUAAAGUCAGUGGCCAAUGCCAGGGGGGGCUCCUUGAGGGCCCCUUCCCUCACCAGCCGCUCAGAUCGUCUGCAGCAGCGCCUGCGUAUCACCCAGCACUUUGGACAGAACCGGCCCCUUCGCCCUAGGAGUCGCCCCAGCAGGAGACUCAGGCUGGAAGAGAAGCCCUCUGAGUCCCUGGAAGAGAGGACACCCUCCCUGAGCCCAGAGGAUGCUCAGGACCCGUGGGCAGAGGAAGCGCUGGACGGCAGCUUCCUGGGGUCUGGAGAAGAACUGGAUUUGCUAAGUGAGAUAUUGGAUAGCCUGAGCACAAGAGCCACGCGGACUGGUAGCCUUCGGCCCAGCCAGAGUUUAGACUGCUGCCACAGAGAGGACUUGGACAGCUGCCUCAGCCUGCCUGACAUACCCGGCUUCCCCCCACUGUCCCCUGGCAUUGGCCACUGACUUUACCUUGUACAUGAGAAGACUCUGCACACCCUUCAAGCCGCUCUUUGCCUAUGGAGGAACCGAAAGAGUGAUUUGACAAGGGUAUUUGAGAACCAGGCCCUCAACCCCCGAGGACAGAUUCAUCUUGCCAUCUGCUCAUGGGUGACUCAAAAUACAUUCAGAAUCCCCCUGUACUAAGGAGCUAAGGAGUCAAUACAAACAUGCCUCUUUGACUAAUAUAAAAGGAAUAUUCCUCGAGGAGAUAACCCCCAAAUGAAACUGGGAGUGGCAAAGCUGGAAUGCUGUAAAAAAUCAGUGUUCAAAAGCAGAGCAAAGAAUAAAAAUUCAACAGACAGUUCCGAGCUGCGGGAGCCGGUCCCAGGAAACUUUUGGAUUUGGGAGAAAAACAAAACACUAAGCAUGCAAGCAGGAAUGUUAGUGUCUCAGAAGGAAUACCCCGAGACGUUUGCCAAAGAAUCCUGGUGAUCAUUUUUAAAUAGGAAAGACGUGAUCUGACAAACGGGAAAGAACACAGUCAAUGGAACAUAAAAGUAGGAAACAUUGCAACUGGUUUAACUGCUGGUUCAGUUUGAUAAACUGUCCUCUAAACAGAAGGUUAAAACAUCCUCUGGCUUGGUCACCCUGGUAACUGGUCUGUCCACCCCAGCCUCACCGAGCGGUACAUGUUCCUGACAGCUGGUUGGGUCUUGGCCUUGACGGAGUGCAGAAGGGCACCACCACCUUUCUGUGGAGAGAGAGCCAAGGCAGAGAGGCAUAGGCAUAUCCCAGACCCCACCUGCCCAACUGGGUUGUGUGUCGCUGGAAAAACCCUUCUCCCUCUCUGAAUUUUCUUUUUUUUUAAAUUAAAAAACUGAGUUAUAAUUUUAAAAAAAAAUAAAAUAAAAAAUAAUAAUGCAUAUAAAGUUUAUAGGUAGGACAGUCGCUGGCUUAUUUUUUUCUUAUAGGUACCAAUACCUGAGAAGGUAUUGCAUUCUUUUCAUAUGAACUAGUGUUAGUUUUCAGUAGGAAAACAUUCACAGUUUUUAUUUUUAGAAUUUAUAGAACUCUAAAAUUUGUUGUUAAUUUCCCCUUGAGCUAUGGAAAUGGAAAGGAGAGGUGGUGUUCAAGGGCAAGGGAGUGUGAGAUCUAAAGCAUACUGGGCAUUACAUUGAAUAUUUGCAUCCAUUAUUUCAUUUAAUGGAUGAAAAGAGUAAAGAGUCUGCCGGCAAUGCAGACUCUGGGUUCGAUCCCUGGGUUGGGAAGAUUCCUGAAGAAGGAAGUGGCUACCCACUCCAGUAUUCUUGCCUGGAAAAUCCCAUGGACAGCGGAGCUUGGUGGGCUAUAUGGGGUCACAAAGAGCCUGGACCUGACUGAGCGACUUUCACUCACUUUGAUCUCAUUUAAUACUCAAAAUAAUCAUACAAGGUGCAUAUUGUUCUGUCUGUGGAACAAAAAAAACAUAAAACUUGGGCCAACAAAAGCUAAAUAAAGAGCCAGGGUUUGAAGGCAAGUUCAUCUGGCUCGAAAACUCACGUUUUUCCCAUUCCUUGAGUUCUGAUUAGCUUAUACUUAAUAUCAUUUUUCCAAAGACAAGAGGCAUGUAGGAAGCAUCCUGUCAUCUUGUGCAAAGUCAUACAGUAUCCUGGAUUUUAACUGCCACUAAGAUUUAAUAACUGUGUGAAAAAGCAACCAGCAAGGUAUCCCCCUGUGUACCAUAAAUAGGCCACUCCAUGGUAAAUUACACACUCGUGACUUAUCCUAGAAGGAGCUCCACAUCACUGUUAGACACUGUUGCUGACCCAAACCAUGAGGCCUUGCACGUGUUCAGGAUCUGCUCUGCUAAGUGUGUAGCACACUCGGCAGAAACCAUGCUGUUCCCGUCCUUACUACUGACUUACUCAGACUCCCUGCACUCGUGCACAGAUGCAGUUUCUGUCUUUGCUCAUCCGUCACAGUGUCCAGGUGUUUGUUUGUUUGUUGAACCUGGAUGUUUAACCCCAUAAGACUUUUCCAAAGGGUCAAAAAGAUUCAUAAGGGGAUAAUACAUAAAACUCGUCACUUUACUACCACAGGUCUUAAAUUUUUCAUCCACAAACCUGAACGUAAAAUUUCAUUUUGGUGGAUAUGUUACAGUUUCUGCUACAUCAAUCUUUAUUACAGACAGCUUCUCCCAUAUAGGAUGCUGUAAGAGUUCUAGAGUAAAGUUUUAAUUUUAACAACACAAUUUCUGAUUUUGUUUCCCUAUGAAUGUGACUUGAAACUCAGCACAUUCUGAGAC
Molecule: long non-coding RNA, 2728 nt
Organism: Capra hircus (goat)
Lineage: Eukaryota; Metazoa; Chordata; Mammalia; Artiodactyla; Bovidae
Source: Ensembl